CACGUGGCUGGUGUAUACUAUGUGCCUGACUCCUACACCAUUCAACUCACAGGAGAUGGAAACUGCUUUUUCACCAAAUCCUCUCACUGAAGAAAAAUGGAAAAACAGGCAGGCAGCAGCAGCCUUUCCAGCAGUUUUCCAUAGGUUAUCGAAGCAAAUCUCACCACACAUCAAGAUCUUGCAGAGUGAAUGAAGAGGAAAAGUGCGGUUUCCCCUAGUAUUCCCUGCUGAUGUGAUGUACUGUGAGGGUACGUAGGAAGCCCCAAACCUGUUAAUAUGUAUUCUGCAUGUCUCUUCGGUGCUGUGGCCUAAUAGACUACCAUCAGUGGAUUCAGUGGGAGUUACAGCAGUUUUACUAGGAGGGUGUUCAGCAUCAAGUGCUGUACAGAGUGACAACAUGGGGUUAAGUCAUCUUCCACCAGGGUGUACGAAGUAGCAUGUGGUUUGUUGGAAAUAUAGCCUAAACGCAAAUGCUAAAUUGGCACAAAUGUCAGGAGUACGCUGAUGAUAUGUGUUGAUGGCACAGAGCUGGGAGGUGUUCCCAAAACGGAGACAAACUGGUGUGUCGUACAGAAGGAACUGCAUGACACUUUGGACUGGAAAUAAUAACAGAAAUAAGAUGAAAUUCAUUGAAACUACAAAAUAAAAACCGGUAUGUCCAAAUCACCUUCUGUACAGUAGGAGCUCAUCUCAGGGAAAUGACUCAGAGGUCAGGAGAUGAUCUCAAGGCAGCUGUGUGCCUCCAGCCUGAGGCAGUUGAGAGAAGGAGUCAUAUAUCUAGCAGACCUAUGGCUGUAUAGUUAAGUAUCAUGAUCUAGUGUACUGAUCCAAUGGUUCAGUACUGUCUUCAAAGUAGAGACAUUUGGACUUUGAGUAAGGCUUUCUUUGUGUAUGAGCUCAUCUGAAAAACUGCAUGGACUCUGUGACCAUGUAGGAAUGACAUCGUUUGGUGGUAUCUUUGCAGAGCACCCAAAGAAGGGACUUCAGCAUGUUCAGACCUCCUCACUGCCCUCCAGAGGUACUCUCAGGGAAGUCAGAGGUUUGGACUUGCUUUACAGUUGAACAUAUAUGCUUCUAUGUGACAGCCUUUGGGAGAGCCUGAUUCCUAGAAAACAUAAACUAGGCCUCUAGUCAGUGAUAGUGACUCAUCAACAGCAGGCUCUGCCUUCAAGGAUGUCUCAGACUCCCUGGUGUCUGGCAGGCCAGCACACAAAUGCCGCAAACACCUUUAGUUGGACCUUUUUGUAAACAUUAUGGUUGGGUUUAUUCCCUUCUACUGAAAAACUGGUCCAGAACCCAAUCCCUCCACUGGUUAAAAAUCUUCCAAUUUCCAGCUAAAUGUGUUUAAGACCAGUGUGCACAAGGAAUCAAGUAAUACAAGAGAAGAGGCAUUUUGCAAGGUGUAUGUCCAGGCUCUUCGUUACAAUGUUGAAAGCAAAUGCUGGCAAAGAAGAAAAUGCAAAUGGCAGAUCUGCUCAGGGAUGACUACCAACCUCCAGCCCCCAGACACCCAGCAGCCUUUCCAACUGCCAGCUCUGGGAAUCUCGAGCUCCCAGCGAUACUCUGCCUUCCAAACAGCUCCCCACUUUCCAUUUCUACUCCUGUGCCAGGUGUAGUACCAGCUUCAGGAGCUGAUGACCUGAUUUUCAUCCCAUCACUCUCCCUGGACGUCCCUUGAGCAUCAGCAUUUUUUAAGUGAUACCUAAGAUGAUACAGCUUGAAGGUGAGGAGCACCAGAUCCAAGAGGUUCAGCAUACAGGAGGGAAGGAGCAUGAGAAGUCAGGGCAGAAUGCAAAGGCUGUUUUCUGUCUUCCUGAAAGAGAACGAGGAAAUAGGUCUGGAAAACGGAACUGGAGAGAGAAGAGGAGGGGAGUGAGAACUGAAUGAUUUAUUUGCACAUACACAUGAGAGAACGAGAGGCAAAGUUUCAAACUGAUAAUUGGUUUGGGAUUUUUAUUGAUUAUAAAUUACAAUUCCAAGCUGUAGUUAAAAACCUGAGCCUGAACCAUACCUGCUAUACAGAGUUGCUAACACAUCUCUAUAAAAUGUUGUGCAAGACAGCAGCUAGACAUAAAUUCUGCAAUGCUUG
This is a long non-coding RNA of Gallus gallus (chicken), 2089 nucleotides long. Lineage: Eukaryota; Metazoa; Chordata; Aves; Galliformes; Phasianidae. The record is from Ensembl.